This 465-nucleotide ribosomal RNA is filed under the name Vreelandella stevensii. Its description in RNAcentral is "partial 16S ribosomal RNA". It matches the Rfam family "Bacterial small subunit ribosomal RNA", at positions 338 to 795 of the family's 1533-position model. Lineage: Bacteria; Pseudomonadati; Pseudomonadota; Gammaproteobacteria; Oceanospirillales; Halomonadaceae. The record is from RNAcentral.
CCUACGGGGAGCAGCAGUGGGGAAUAUUGGACAAUGGGCGAAAGCCUGAUCCAGCCAUGCCGCGUGUGUGAAGAAGGCCUUCGGGUUGUAAAGCACUUUCAGUGGGGAAGAAAGCCUUGGGGCUAAUACCCUCGAGGAAGGACAUCACCCACAGAAGAAGCACCGGCUAACUCCGUGCCAGCAGCCGCGGUAAUACGGAGGGUGCGAGCGUUAAUCGGAAUUACUGGGCGUAAAGCGCGCGUAGGCGGUCUGAUAAGCCGGUUGUGAAAGCCCCGGGCUCAACCUGGGAACGGCAUCCGGAACUGUCAGGCUAGAGUGCAGGAGAGGAAGGUAGAAUUCCCGGUGUAGCGGUGAAAUGCGUAGAGAUUGGGAGGAAUACCAGUGGCGAAGGCGGCCUUCUGGACUGACACUGACGCUGAGGUGCGAAAGCGUGGGUAGCAAACAGGAUUAGAUACCCUAGUAGUC